This 72-nucleotide transfer RNA is filed under the name Candidatus Riflebacteria bacterium GWC2_50_8. RNAcentral's name for it is "tRNA-Lys". It matches the Rfam family "tRNA". From Rfam's summary of the family: Transfer RNA (tRNA) molecules are approximately 80 nucleotides in length. Their secondary structure includes four short double-helical elements and three loops (D, anti-codon, and T loops). Further hydrogen bonds mediate the characteristic L-shaped molecular structure. tRNAs have two regions of fundamental functional importance: the anti-codon, which is responsible for specific mRNA codon recognition, and the 3' end, to which the tRNAs corresponding amino acid is attached (by aminoacyl-tRNA synthetases). tRNAs cope with the degeneracy of the genetic code in two manners: having more than one tRNA (with a specific anti-codon) for a particular amino acid; and 'wobble' base-pairing, i.e. permitting non-standard base-pairing at the 3rd anti-codon position. The record is from RNAcentral. RNAcentral also lists the same sequence under 5 other names. Lineage: Bacteria; Candidatus Rifleibacteriota.
GGGCCGCUAGCUCAGGGGUAGAGCAUCUGACUUUUAAUCAGGGGGUCAUUGGUUCAAAUCCAAUGCGGCUCA